AAAUUUUCUUUGUUGAUGGCUCAAACUGAGUUGAUAACAGAGAUGGCUAGGAUGGAGUUGGAAGUGAAGCUGCCAAGUGAAGGUGGACAAAUGCUGUUUGCAAUGGAGAUGCAAUCGACCAUUGUAGAAAGAGUUAAGGAGGUACAACUCAAAACUGAUGAGUGUGACCGGAUGAAGGAGCGGCUAGCCAAUGAAAAAGAUACUAAGUAUAGUCUUGAUAAUGAGGGAUUAUUGAGAUUUGAAGGAAGAAUUUGGGUUCCAAAUGAGACGAAAUUAAAGGAGCAGGUAUUGCAAGAGGCUCAUAGUU
Molecule: long non-coding RNA, 307 nt
Filed under: Panax ginseng (ginseng)
Lineage: Eukaryota; Viridiplantae; Streptophyta; Magnoliopsida; Apiales; Araliaceae
Description: long non-coding RNA (PGIN_LNC000949)
Source: RNAcentral